Pelobacter propionicus DSM 2379 is the source of this 74-nucleotide transfer RNA. It matches the Rfam family "tRNA". Rfam says of the family: Transfer RNA (tRNA) molecules are approximately 80 nucleotides in length. Their secondary structure includes four short double-helical elements and three loops (D, anti-codon, and T loops). Lineage: Bacteria; Pseudomonadati; Thermodesulfobacteriota; Desulfuromonadia; Desulfuromonadales; Desulfuromonadaceae. The record is from Rfam.
CGGGAUGUAGCGCAGCCUGGUAGCGCACCUGCUUCGGGAGCAGGGGGUCGCUAGUUCGAAUCUAGUCAUCCCGA